This 400-nucleotide ribosomal RNA is filed under the name uncultured bacterium. Its description in RNAcentral is "bacterial SSU rRNA". It matches the Rfam family "Bacterial small subunit ribosomal RNA", at positions 356 to 773 of the family's 1533-position model. The record is from RNAcentral.
GGGGAAUAUUGGACAAUGGGCGCAAGCCUGAUCCAGCCAUGCCGCGUGAGUGAUGAAGGCCCUAGGGUUGUAAAGCUCUUUUGUGCGGGAAGAUAAUGACGGUACCGCAAGAAUAAGCCCCGGCUAACUUCGUGCCAGCAGCCGCGGUAAUACGAAGGGGGCUAGCGUUGCUCGGAAUCACUGGGCGUAAAGGGUGCGUAGGCGGGAUUUUAAGUCAGAGGUGAAAGCCUGGAGCUCAACUCCAGAACUGCCUUUGAUACUGGAAUUCUUGAGUUCGGGAGAGGUGAGCGGAACUGCGAGUGUAGAGGUGAAAUUCGUAGAUAUUCGCAAGAACACCAGUGGCGAAGGCGGCUCACUGGCCCGAUACUGACGCUGAGGCACGAAAGCGUGGGUAGCAAAC